UUAAAAAAAAAAAAAAAAAAGCCAAGAAUUCUUAGCUGAAAAAGUAACUGUCAUUAUGAUCGUUAUUUAACGGUCGGUAAUGGCUAUUACCUUUAGAUAACAUCGAUAGCGGCCUUUAACAGAUUUAAAAAUCUAUUAAAUAACAGUGAUAACCAUGACGAUAAGCCAAAAAACCUUUAAAUUACGUAAUGGCUGUUAUUUAAAACCAUGGUUGGGACCUAUGCUACCUAGAGUGUGGAUAGCUUAGGUACACAACGAAAAUGGGAACAUGAAAAAAUCCUUGUUUAGAAUUGCAAUACAAUGGGUAGGCAUCUUCAGAUUGCUCAGCAAGAAAUUUGAUUACCAGGAAUGUAGAACACUUUUCAGGACCAAAAAUAUCCAUGUCCCAAAAUUUGCAGAAUAUAAAUAGUAAUGAAAUUACUGAAUUUUUCAAUUCUUAGCCCAUGGUGGUUUGCAUUUUGGAACAAUAAUUUUGAAGUUCCUAAUCGGUAAUGAUCCAUAGCUCAGGUUGUGUGAUCUUGAGCACAAAUCACUAGGGUGAAGCUAUUUAUGGUAACAUUGGUCAGAACAUCCAUCAAAUAUUUGCUUCCUACAACAUUUCAACGCAGAAAUAGCUCUCUACACACACAUCACAAAAAAUGAAGGCAUCAUCACUAUUCUUCUUAAGAGCAUUAGGAAAUAAUGAAAGACAUCAGUGCAUGAAAUACUGAAACUGAUAUCAAUUACUAUAAUUAAACAAAUAAAAGAAGGAAUAUAAUGAAGAAAAAAGAAUCAAGAACAUACCGAACUCACAUGGACAGAGCCUGUUUGAACUUCAAAGGGAUGCAAUAGAUAGAUUAUUAUUAUUUUUUUCACAUUCCAGAUUCAGAACAUACACAAUCAUUAAUGUACUAUAAUGAUAGUGCGAAAUGUGUUUAAAUUGUUAAUAUCCCACAUUGGUUUGGAAUAGAGGUAAUGUACUCCUUAUAAGGUCUUGAGCACUCCUCCCCCUUGAGUUAGCUUUUGAGGUGAAUUAAACCAUUUCCAUUUCCCAACCAAUGUUUGAGCCUCCCAUAAAUGUUUCACGCUCAAUGUGUUUAAUUCUUGGUAUAAAGUGUGUUAAUAUCCCACAUUUGUUAGGAGUAAUAUACCUAUUAUAAGGUUUUAGGCACUCCUCCCCUUGAGCUAGCUUUUGGGGUAGAGUUAGACUUAGUCCAUUUUCUCUACAUGAACUUUUCUAUUCAUCAUGAAGUCUGUACAAAGAAUGCAAACGAAAAAUAAUCACAGAGCAGAAACACAUACCACUUCCAACUUCAACAUUAUUCUUUUCUAAUGAAACUGGCUGAAAUUUUCCAUCAAAAGAUCUAGUGGAACUCUUCUGCCGCCUACCUUUCCUUCUUGUCCGCCAGUCAGAAGGCAAAAGACUAUCAUCUGCUGUUCCUUGAUUAGUUGGAACUUCGUUUACGUUUGUGUUAUGAGUAAAACUAUUCAUUUCAUUACUAGAUAUUGAAGAUUUGACUGGCAUUGCCGCACUAUCCACCAUAGGCAUGACUUCUAUAUCAUUGGGAAACCCAUUCUUAAAUGUCAAAGGUUCCAAUGGCUCAUGUGCAUCAUCAGCACCACAUUCCAAAUAAUUAUCAGGCAGUCCAGCCACCUUUUCUGGAAAUGUUUGAUUGGAUUUCUUAUGUUGUUGUUCAGCAAGGUGCUUCAGUUUAGCCUCAUUCUCAAUUCGUCUUUGAUACUCCAGGGUUUCUUCUAGUUUUCUUUCCUCUGCUUCAAGCUCAAUUUUACGUCUACAUUCUUCCUCCUGUUGUUUCAAGUCCUCGCCACUCACUGAAAAAGGAAUCUCAGAAUCCGGAUCACCACCGGAUGCAACUGGAAAGGAACUGUGGCAAGAAACAAAUCAAACGCAACAGCCUGUACUUACUAUUUGCAUUCAUGAUAUGUAGGUGCAAAAUAAAAUGGCAGCACUCAUUGCAGAAAAGCAAACAUAGAGGUGCAAAGUGAGAUCAAGUGGGACACGUACCUUUCCUCAGCAGUCUCAUCAUGAAGCAAAUGCUGCUCAUUGCCAAAAAUAGCCUUUGAAUCUUUGCUUUUCCUGUAUUCUCUGUUCUUUUUUUUAUCCUUUGCCUUCUCCUGUGUAUUUCUCAAAUUAUCACUUCCUCCUCUAGCAAUUUUCUUAGAAUCAAGUGCCAGUUCUGCUAAAAAUGCUUCUCUUGCAGCAUCAGACUUCUCUGUGGCAUCCUUCUCAGCUAAAUCCUCCAAACGUGCCCUCAUGUAUGACUUCAAUAAAGGUAAUAAUAUCAACAGAUAAUCAUAGGCAGAAACAGGUUCAAGUUUGAGUUCCAACUGCUGCAUCCCGGUUACAUUUCGCAUGAUUCGAGCAUCAAUUUUGCUCAGCUCUACUGAUAACUGGUGUUUCUGUCUCCGAAUCACAACUUGUAUACAAGUGUCCAUUUGAUGCACAUUGUCCUUGGUUUUCCAAUUAUUGACUUCACCAGAUUCCAAGUCGCACAACCCAGAACUCAUACCACUGUAAGUAUCCUCAUAUCCAAAUUGAUUGGCAUUCAGAUCUUCUGCUUCUUUUAAUACAUUUGCGAUGACAUCUAACUCAAUCCGACUGCUAUUAAAAAAAGCAUCAUUUUCAUUCUCGACAAGAUCAUCCCUCCUCCUUCUAAGUGCAUAUUCAUAGCAGCUACGAUCAUGUGUAUCAGUUUCCCCUUUCUUAGUUUCUUCAAGACAGAGAUCCUCCACAGCCUGCAAUGCUUCCUCGUAGCUUAAAUGCUCACAUUUUCUCUCACAAAGGCUCUGAAGGUGGUAAAACUCCUUCUCAAGUGUCUGAAGAAUUUCCACUCCCUGGUGCACUUUCUCUUCCUUUGUACGCACCCAUGAUUGCAAUUGCUCCCCACUAGAGGGCCCUGCAAAUAUCCAUGAGAGCAAAGCAUCAACAUCAGGUAGAAUCCCAUUUCCAUGGCCAACAUUAGUAGAAGUUGCUGUGGCCAUAUUAUCAGGAAGACAUUUGCCAGGAGCACAUUCAGAUUGCAAUAGACAUUCAUCAAGGUAGAUACACAACACAUCACCAUCAAGAACAAUUUUCUCUUUUAUCUCAGGACUUUGAGUAGCACUUACAUCAUCUAUUGUACUACUUUUUUCAGAAUAUCUUCCUAAACCACAAGAAUGAGACAGUUCCUGCAAGAAUUUAAGGAUCUUUUUAAGCUGUGAUGCUCCCAAAAAGCAAAUGCACAAGGGUGUCUGGUCCACGCCAUGGUUUAGAAGCUGAGAACCAGAAGCAAGAGUCUGUAGCUCAUCCAUUGUAAGUUGUAUCACCUUGUUUAGAUGGCUUGCAGCAAGAUACUUGCGUUUAAUAAGUGCCUCAAAUACAGCACGAAUUUUUUCAAGGAGCUUUCCUCUCUCAGAGUCCUCUGAUAGCGGCCAGCUAUCAAUAGAGUAUGCCAUAGAACCCUGGUUUCCAUCACACUCUUUGCACUCAAUACUGGAAACUCUAUCUGCAUCAUUGCUCCCUGUAGUAAAAUCAUUAUAGCCAUCCCUUGAAUUUUCCUUCUUUGGAGAAGAAUCCCACGCAUCAUUGAAGCAAUCAUCACACUCCUCAUUAUGACUCCCCGAGUAAAAAUCCUCAACAAUGUCUGCAUCUUGGCAUUUCCCUUGACUUCCAAGCAUCUUGACUGCAGAGGAGAUAUCCAGUGGUUUCCAAGAACAAUUAAGAAUCAUCUCAAUCCACUCAUUGUCAACACUCUGGGGCAAAACUGCUUGCAUUUUAGGCAUAAGGUUCCCCAUAUGCUCUUGCAUAACGUGAUGUAUAUGACUCUCAGAAUCUGCAAACUUCUCAAGGCAUCUACAACACAUCCAAAACCUCCAUGCCUUAUUCUCCUCUGCAAAUGCCAAUGCCUCAUUUAAAACCUCACUAGCCAAACCAUCCUUGGAUGACCCAAAAUAACUCUUCAAAUCACAGACCAUAAUUUUUAAUAAAUCCCUCUUCAUUUCCAUGCUCAUUGAGUUCCAAUAUGACCGCACCCAAUCCUUCCUCUCCUUGUUGGUACCACUCUUCCUCACAUUAAACCCAUACUUCCUCCUCUCUCCUCUCUUAUCAUUCCCUGAUGGCGCUUCCACUCCCUUUUCACCCCGCUCACCAUCAUUGUGUCCCGAACUACUCUCUAAUUUCUGCUGCAAUAAUCUGGCAGCAGCGACCCUAACUUCGAUCUCUUUCCGCCUCUCUUCAGGCGUCUUUGUAGCCUUUUUAAUCUCAUUGGGCCUCCUAGUUUGCAAUAACCUAAGCUCCAUAGGAUCCUCGGUGGCUCUCCGUAUGGGUAUCAAUCUAAUUUCUUCCCCAGUCCCUAAGUUCUUCAUCCAAGUCGAAAUUGAAGCAAUGCUCGAUUUCUGUUUCAAGCUCCUCAGCUCACUCUGCACAUGAGUAAUCCUCGCUUCCGCAGUUGUUAUCUUCUGCUGGCUCUCGUCUUGCAAGCUCUCCUUGGCAGGAUCAAUCGGGUUCAAGAUAUCCAAGGCACGUUCACACUCUUUCAUAACCUCCUCGUAAUCCUUCCCAUCAUUUGCGGCCUCGUAGAGCAAAUUAGCGUAGAAAUGCGCGAAUUCUAUCGAGUUCGGAGACAAUAAAGCUGCUCUACGGGCGGCAUCGAUCGCGUUCUUCAAAUGCCGCUGUUUAGCGUUGGGAUCAUCGAUUAUCGAGGCCAGCUUUACAGAGACCGUACCCUGCACACGGUAAAUUAGGGCUGCGUGCGGCGAGUUAUCACCGUGCCGCAUACCCGACUCCUUCAUGAGACGGAGGGCUUUGGUGUGAUUGCCGCGGCGGAGGGCCGUCAAGGCCCGCUCACAUUCAAUCUUGAUUUUCGAGUAAGAGGAUACGUCUGAUUCAGGAGAAAUAGACGGUUCGAUCUUGGCAAUGGAAAGAUUACUCAGAUUCUCAGCUUCAUCAGCUACCGCCGGAAGUUGUCUUGAACGAGCAGUGGGGUUGCGCUUCUUAUGCCCCAUCAGUAGCGUUUAUUACAACAAUCUGAUCAUGAUGCAUAUAACCGUCUCUAUGUACAAAUAAAAUGUGUAUUGGUUGUAGAGAGAAGUAAAAAGGAAAGACUUACUCGAGAGGGGAAAAAUGCAGGGGUAAGUGGGAAUUGGAAUAGAGUUGCCAGCGACGGCAACGGUGAGUGGAGGAGAUGGGGCAGGCGAUGAAAUCUAGGAAGAGAGCGGAAGAUGAGCGACAAAGGAAGAAGAAGAAGGAGAAGA
Molecule: unclassified non-coding RNA, 5232 nt
Filed under: Hevea brasiliensis (rubber tree)
Lineage: Eukaryota; Viridiplantae; Streptophyta; Magnoliopsida; Malpighiales; Euphorbiaceae
Source: RNAcentral